RNAcentral lists this ribosomal RNA (222 nucleotides) under uncultured bacterium. RNAcentral's name for it is "partial 16S ribosomal RNA". It matches the Rfam family "Bacterial small subunit ribosomal RNA", at positions 30 to 250 of the family's 1533-position model. The record is from RNAcentral.
AUUGAACGCUGGCGGCAUGCCUUACACAUGCAAGUCGAGCGGCAGCGCGGGGGCAACCCUGGCGGCGAGCGGCGGACGGGUGAGUAAUACAUCGGAACGUGUCCUUUCGUGGGGGAGUAGCCAGUCGAAGACUGGCUAAUACCGCAUGAGAUCUCACGAUGAAAGCGAGGGACCGCAACGGCCGUCGCGCGAUUGGAGCGGCCGAUGUCGGAUUAGCUAGUU